This is a long non-coding RNA of Leopardus geoffroyi (Geoffroy's cat), 2356 nucleotides long. RefSeq lists it as uncharacterized. The transcript is spliced from 3 exons. The record is from RefSeq and is a predicted model, not a curated record. NCBI's taxonomy places the organism in Eukaryota, Metazoa, Chordata, Mammalia, Carnivora, Felidae.
UCACAGUCUAAGGACCCACAAAACAUAGCUAUAAAAAAACAUUAUCCCACAGCCUAUGCCACCCAGCACUUCUCAAAGUGACAGAAACCAGCCCUCCUCUUAAAAUAACCUGUGGUUGGUCCAUACCGUGGAGGUAGGAAGAACUGGACUGGCUUUUCCCCGGACCCUGCUGCUGCUGUCCUGCUCACAACCUGUCUAAUACUUUGGGUUCAGCAGAAAGGAAAACAUGAAGAAAAUGGACAAUGACAGAGCCGUCAUCUGUAAAAACUGGUACUUGCUUAGAAGUCAAGAGAAUGAUUCGUCUAAAACAAAGGCCGUUCCCCUCACUCCUGUGAGCCCUACCUUUAACCACUAAAGACACACCCUGACAAUGCUUUCUUCCUCACCUAAGAUGCAAUUAUGGACCAAACAUUCAAAGGGUUUCCAGAAGGACUGCCACAGGCUUCAAGCAUACUCUGUGUCUUAAGUUCAUCUCUGAGCAAGCAAAACAAUUAAAUGCCAGAGACCGUGGCCAACAGCAUCUUAUUUUGAGGAUGAGUUAUCAGAAAAACAUUGUGCUGGCUGUUGGCUUAAACAGAAUAGGUUGGAACAAAAAGACUUAGCAAAUUCCUUUGAGGCCAGAACGUAUAUUUCUUAAUUUAAAGAGCUGUCAUGAUUUGUUUCCACUACUUGCACGGUAUCUAAUGCCCCGGGACCACUAUCUCGUCCUCUGUGUCACAAACCAAUAAUAAAGCACAGAGAAUAAGGAGACCCAAGAGAUGGAAUGCUGGAAUGCCUGCUGACCUCAUAAACAAAACCCCAGCCACCUCCGUUGUAUCAUAACACAAUGACAUAGUUCUCUGGAUUAGGAUACAGGGAAGGAAGCAUCUAUUACAGACUUGGUUUAAAAAAGUCAGAAAAGGUAUCUGUGAAACUGUUUGGUUUCCAACAUAUGCUGCUAAGCCUGGCCGACUGACCCUUACUCAACCUCAGCGAGACUAUAAAGUUUGAGACACAGUAAUUCAUCUUGUGUUCAACACAAGGUUUACCUAGAAAAAUUAAGUUCACUCGCUAAAAAGUUAUAAAGUAACUGAAUGUGAGCAAUUUUGGAUUAACAUGAAACAAUGCUUUUCUUUCAGAACCACUUGCGGAGACAAAACUAAGUCACAGUGGAAGACAAAAGCCGGGGCAACAGGAUGAAUGCAGCAGAAAGAGGAGCUGACCAGAGAGGAGCCUGCCACUAAAUCACACAGUCAGUACCUCCUGCUUGACUCCACCGCUCGUCUUUUGUCUGCAACUUAUUUACCUGUGGCCUGACCUCCCGCUGGACCCUUCCUUACACCUCCAUCCCUGGUAUUGACUUCUUGGCCUCUUCAUCUCUGAUUAAACUCCCCUCUCCCAAGUGGCUAUGCACACAGUCUCUUUCUCCUUCACCCCGACCCCCCCACCUCUACUUCAACUGCAGAUUACACAACUAUGGAAUCCAUUCCUCUCAAGAUCAAGAGGACCAGCAGUCAGUCAACUCCCUGCUUCCUUAACAGGCUUUGACCAUGACCACAGUAAGAAAUACGUUUAUAUCACAACCCAAUACAUAUACACAUACUACAUUGGGCUGCCUGGGUGGCUCAACUGGUAGAGCAUGAGACUCAGGGGAGUGAGUUCGAGCCACAUGUUGGACACAGAGAUUACUUGAUAAAAAAGUUUUUAAAUAAUAUCUGUCAUUAUUAAGGGUAAUGUAUUUAAUAUUCUCUAUUCAGUUCUAUUCCAUUUAUAUUUUUAAAAUGUCUGGGUCAUAUAAUGUUAAGUUAAAGAAGCCUCACGUAAAAAGCGCAUACUGUAUGAUUCCACUGAUAACAAGGUCUGGAACAGUCGCAACUAAUCUACGGUGACAGACAUAAAAACAGCAGGCAUAUCAGCUGGGAGGGGAGGACAGGAUAGUCUGCUGGAGUGCUAGAAGCGUUCUAUGCAUUGAUCUGCGUGGUGGUUAUACAGGUGCCCAAAUGUGAAAUCCACUGAGCUAUCCAAUUAGUGUUCCAUGUAAGUUCUACUUCAAUUAAAUAAAUAAAUAAAUAAAUAAAUAAAUAAAGCAAAGCAAAGCAAAAUAAAAAGAAAUGGGGGGUUUAAACUAAUUAAUCUGAUUUAACCAACCAAAACUGCUUCAACUAACCUGUUACACACAGUUUGAAAAGAGCUCUAAAUAUCUUUGUGUGUGUGUGCGUUAACUCUCUUAUAUAUGUUAUCUCAUACAACUAAACUAAGGAAAGUUUAAAAACUUUCCUAGGGAGCGUCUGGGUAGCUCAGUCAGUUGGGAAUCCAGCUCCUGACUUCGGCUCAGGUCAUGAUCUCAUGGUUCAUGAGUUCGAGACCCGUGCUGGGC